RNAcentral lists this ribosomal RNA (497 nucleotides) under uncultured bacterium. Its description in RNAcentral is "partial 16S ribosomal RNA". It matches the Rfam family "Bacterial small subunit ribosomal RNA", at positions 28 to 507 of the family's 1533-position model. The record is from RNAcentral.
GAUGAACGCUGGCGGCGUGCCUAAUACAUGCAAGUCGAGCGAACAGACGAGGAGCUUGCUCCUCUGACGUUAGCGGCGGACGGGUGAGUAACACGUGGAUAACCUACCUAUAAGACUGGGAUAACUUCGGGAAACCGGAGCUAAUACCGGAUAAUAUAUUGAACCGCAUGGUUCAAUAGUGAAAGACGGUUUUGCUGUCACUUAUAGAUGGAUCCGCGCCGCAUUAGCUAGUUGGUAAGGUAACGGCUUACCAAGGCAACGAUGCGUAGCCGACCUGAGAGGGUGAUCGGCCACACUGUAACUGCGACACGGUCCAGACUCCUACGGGAGGCAGCAGUAGGGAAUCUUCCGCAAUGGGCGAAAGCCUGACGGAGCAACGCCGCGUGAGUGAUGAAGGUCUUCGGAUCGUAAAACUCUGUUAUUAGGGAAGAACAAAUGUGUAAGUAACUAUGCACGUCUUGACGGUACCUAAUCAGAAAGCCACGGCUAACUACGUG